RNAcentral lists this ribosomal RNA (495 nucleotides) under uncultured bacterium. Its description in RNAcentral is "partial 16S ribosomal RNA". It matches the Rfam family "Bacterial small subunit ribosomal RNA", at positions 28 to 507 of the family's 1533-position model. The record is from RNAcentral.
GACGAACGCUGGCGGCGUGCCUAAUACAUGCAAGUAGAACGCUGAAGGAGGAGCUUGCUCUUCUGGAUGAGUUGCGAACGGGUGAGUAACGCGUAGGUAACCUGCCUGGUAGCGGGGGAUAACUAUUGGAAACGAUAGCUAAUACCGCAUAAGAGUAGAUGUUGCAUGACAUUUACUUAAAAGGUGCAAUUGCAUCACUACCAGAUGGACCUGCGUUGUAUUAGCUAGUUGGUGGGGUAACGGCUUACCAAGGCGACGAUACAUAGCCGACCUGAGAGGGUGAUCGGCCACACUGGGACUGAGACACGGCCCAGACUCCUACGGGAGGCAGCAGUAGGGAAUCUUCGGCAAUGGACGGAAGUCUGACCGAGCAACGCCGCGUGAGUGAAGAAGGUUUUCGGAUCGUAAAGCUCUGUUGCAAGAGAAGAACGAGUGUGAGAGUGGAAAGUUCACACUGUGACGGUAUCUUACCAGAAAGGGACGGCUAACUACGUG